Molecule: ribosomal RNA, 253 nt
Filed under: uncultured bacterium
Lineage: Bacteria
Description: partial 16S ribosomal RNA
Rfam family: Bacterial small subunit ribosomal RNA
Source: RNAcentral
UACAGAGGUCCCAAGCGUUGUUCGGAUUUAUUGGGCGUAAAGAGCGUGUAGGCGGCCAGACAGGUCCGUUGUGAAAACUAGAGGCUUAACCUCUAGACGUCGAUGGAAACCGUCUGGCUAGAGUCCGGAAGAGGAGAAUGGAAUUCCUGGUGUAGCGGUGAAAUGCGCAGAUAUCAGGAAGAACACCCGUGGCUAAGGCGGUUCUCUAGUACGGUACUGACGCUGAGACGCGAAAGCGUGGGGAGCGAACAGG